AUUGAACGCUGGCGGCAUGCUUUACACAUGCAAGUCGAACGGUAACAGGCCUUCGGGUGCUGACGAGUGGCGAACGGGUGAGUAAUGCAUCGGAACGUGCCCAAUCGUGGGGGAUAACGUAGCGAAAGUUACGCUAAUACCGCAUAAGCCCUGAGGGGGAAAGUGGGGGACCGCAAGGCCUCACGCGAAUGGAGCGGCCGAUGUCAGAUUAGCUAGUUGGUGGGGUAAAGGCCCACCAAGGCGACGAUCUGUAGCGGGUCUGAGAGGAUGAUCCGCCACACUGGGACUGAGACACGGUCCAGACUCCUACGGGAGGCAGCAGUGGGGAAUAUUGGACAAUGGGGGCAACCCUGAUCCAGCCAUGCCGCGUGAGUGAUGAAGGCCUUCGGUUGUAAGUACGUCUGUUGAGAGGGAC
Molecule: ribosomal RNA, 415 nt
Filed under: uncultured bacterium
Lineage: Bacteria
Description: bacterial SSU rRNA
Rfam family: Bacterial small subunit ribosomal RNA
Source: RNAcentral